This is a non-coding RNA of Ciona intestinalis (vase tunicate), 3980 nucleotides long. NCBI's taxonomy places the organism in Eukaryota, Metazoa, Chordata, Ascidiacea, Phlebobranchia, Cionidae. The record is from RefSeq and is a predicted model, not a curated record.
CAUUGAUCAUUAUGAACAAUUGUUUCGAAUUUUAGAGUUUUGUAACUUAUGUGGUAACAAUUGGAUGAUGACGUCACAGUUGUAAUAUGAAUGGAUACGUCUUAAUUGCUUUUAUUUUUGUGAUAAUUACCACUGAUAUUGCGCCGUUCGCUGCAACCGACAACGAAAACGGAGUUUUGGAAGUAAAUGUUACGUCACAUACAUAUGACGUAACAAAGGAUUUUAAACACGAGGUUUGUCUUGGAUUGUUACGUCACAAAGAAACACCGAUGCUGCAGCGAUCGUGGGAAUUUCAAUCAUGUAGUAAUCUGCAUUAUGACACGACGCUGAAAAACUAUGACGUCAUAAAGCUACAAAUUAACCAAACAAAGGCAUUCACCUACGUCAUCGUUAAGCGCGCUGCAUCAUCGGGUUAUGACGUAAUAGGUUGGGUGCAGCUUCCGUUAAUCCUCCCAGGUGAUGACGUUACCCAUGACAUCAUCAUCAAAGGUAGAGAAGAAGGAAAAUCGAAGCAGAAUUUAAUUUUAAUUAAAAAUGUUGAAGCGUGGAAGUUUCAGUUGAAACUCACCUGCCAUUCAAAUCGUCAUGGUCCGCUGUGUAAGGUCACGUGCCACCCACCUACGUCACAUCACGUGUGUGAUGACGUCACAGGUGAACUUCGCUGCGCCCCUCCGUGGUCGGGAAAGUUCUGCACAAAUAAUGUGUUCAUGGAUAAAGCGACCGCGUCAAGUUUCGUGAAAUCGCGACCAAAACGCGCGAACAGCUGGUUAAGGUUCGAGGAGUUCCAACCUGGGAAUAUAGAGCGUGAAUGCGAAGAAGAGAGGUGCUCGCGGGAAGAAGCGAGAGAAGCAUUUGAAGAUGAUGCGCUAACAACGGAAUAUUGGACGCGAUAUACAGAUCCAAACCAAUGUUUACCCAACCCAUGCCGAACCAACCACACCAGUCGUUGUGAGGAUUUACUCGCAGAUUAUCGAUGCCACUGUUUCAAUGGUUACUUUGGAAAGAAUUGUCAACAAGAAAUGGAUCCUUGUUCGAGUUCGCCUUGUCAUAAUGAAGCAUUGUGUUCGAAACAUACACCUACGUCAUACUCGUGUGUUUGUUCUCCUGGAUACCGCGGACACCAUUGUGACGUCAACAUCGAUGAUUGCGUGAUAGCGGAUUGUGGCGAUCAUGGAGAAUGCGUCGAUGGAAUCAACAAUUACACUUGUGUUUGUGACGUAGGCUUCACAGGAUCGCGGUGCGAAGCCGACAUCAACGAAUGUGAGAAUAAUCCUUGCGAAAAUGGCGGGAACUGCAGUGAUCACGUGGGUUUCUACACCUGCGCAUGCGCACUUGAGUACGAAGGAACUAACUGCGAUUCUAGAAUCAACCCUUGUGUGACGUCACCAUGCUUUAAUAAUGGUGUUUGUGCAAUGAACCGUGACUAUUCGUUCAACUGUUCAUGUCCGUCACGCUUCACUGGUGUCACGUGCGAGUAUGACGUCACCAACCCGUGUGCGUCACAGCCGUGUAACAAUGAUGGCGUGUGUUACGUCACAAAUAGCACCGUCAGUGACGUCUUAUCUGUUGGUAACCAUGGCAACUCAUCCCAGGACUUCCAUUGUUUGUGUAACAUUGGUUUUGGCGGGAAAAGCUGCGAUCGGGAAAUCCCCGCGUGUGAAUAUUCUCCUUGUCCAACCAACGCGACCUGCGUUGGAUUACGUCAUCAAUAUAUUUGCGUUUGUCCACCCGGAUACAGAGGCGAUAAUUGUGACGCACUCGGUAACGAUAGUGACGUCACAGAGCAGGUACAAUGCGAGUUGAAUCCAUGUUUGAACGAAGCGCGAUGCAUCUUCUAUGAAAACACAACCACGUGUUUGUGCAGAGAAGGGUACAAUGGCACGCACUGUGACGUCAUGAUCGAUUAUUGCGUCAGCUCACCUUGUAUUAACGGUGGCGAGUGUAUUCCUUCACCUGGAGGUUUCUAUUGUAAUUGUAGACAGGGAUUUCACGGAGGUUUCUGCGAGAACGACAUCGAUGAGUGCGCGUUCGGUUUGUGUCGUCAUAAUGCCACUUGUAACAACACAAUGGGUUCUUUCGAAUGCAUCUGUGGUCCAUAUCAUGUCGGAAGGUUUUGUGAGAUCGAUUACGACGCGUGUACGUCAUCGCCGUGUCAUAAUGGGGGAGUGUGCGUUCAUAGAGGAACCAUUGUUGAAUGCAAGUGUUUAUCAGGUUAUGGAAAUGCGUAUUGUGAUGACGUCAUCAACCCGUGCGAUGACAUCACAAAUCCAUGUUUGAAUGACGGAAUAUGUUCACGCAUGGUUGACGACCCCACUCAAGCUAAUUGUACAUGCAUUAACGGUUACUAUGGUCACGUGUGCGAUAAAGUGUGGGAUUAUUGCACCGUUCGAAGCAACGAAUUAAGGUAUGAUGAAGUCACAAAGAGCUUUGUUCCAACCGUUGUCGCGCGAACGGAUUGCGGUUUCCAUGGCGACUGUGUUUCGGAAAACUUCGGAUUCCGAUGCCAAUGUCACUUCGGGUUUGAGGGUGAUCUCUGCGAACAAGAAAUCUCGAUUCCAAGAAUCAAUUGUUCGUCAGAAUAUUGUUUAUGCGCGAACAAUAGAAGCACAAAUCAAUCGAUUGAGUGUCACUAUGGGCAUUAUGACGUAGGUACAUGUCGCGAGACCACGUGUCUAAGUCAGUCAUGUCGUAACGAUGACGUCAUGUUCUGCGAUUGGUCGUCGAGCUGCAUUACGUCAUACACGAGAACACAAGAUGUUUCAAUCGACCCCAAUUGCGUCAUAAUGACGAUGACAAUGAACAAAACAAUGAUUCAGCAGAAUACAACGACAGCAUUGUUAUGUCACAAACUGCGGUCGUUACCAAAUGAUGAAAGAACAAACGUCACGGUUCACUGCGCAUUGCUAUCGGCUGAUGACGUCACCGCCAUUGUCGUCACAUCCUGGCUUAGUAUGACGUCAUCGGUUGAUAGUUACUUGGUGGGCGCGGCAGUUUAUCAACAAUUGGAACAAAAACUUGGGCGAAAAGUCAUCAAAGAUCGCGAUUAUUUGGCGGAAGGUAUUGAACCCCUCUAUGACGCAAUAAUUAGCCUUGAGUUCCAAUCCCACCGUGGUCAGGUGCUUAAACUUCGCGAUGACGGAGUUAAACCUACGUCACCAAGUCAUACGUCACACGGGGAUUCCCUUUGGUACAUCCCUGUUAUACUGGGGGUUUCCCUCAUUCUCUUUGUCACGUGCUUCGUAUACACCCGACGACGUCAUAAUAAGAAGCGAUCCUACUCGACGGAUGAUGACGUCACUCGUAAUGACAUCAUUGCAACUGUAGACAACGUGUCUAUGGAUAGAGUGAUAGUUUCCCCUACACGAGUAAAGUGGUUCAGACUACCGCUAGGUGGGAGCAACAAGCGCGAUGAAUUCGUUAACCCAUUGUUUGUCGAUAAUCAAAUGUGUAACGGUCUUCCAUCGCAUUCGGAUGACAAUAGGAACGCCUACGUUACAACGCCACAACAAUCACCAAUAUUACGUCAUAAAGUCGAACAAUCAACAAUCGAUUAUGACGUCACAAAAACUGAAAUGACGUCAUAUGGCGAUGAAGUAACGUAUGAAACAAUCAACAUAUCACCGGGGGAAUCCCCGAAAUACCAACAACAUUGUAGCGCCACCGAGCGAGAUCAUGGAACCCACCCUACCCGACGCUAGGUGGCAGUCUACACCCAACGCAACACCGAGAUCAUAUUUUGACCCAGAGGUGUAUCACGUGCCAGGAAAAGCACGACCCGUCGAUUAAACCGAUUGUUACGUCAUAAUCACAUAUAUGAGUUACUGUGUUAUUUAUUACGUCAUAACAACUAUAAGUUAAAAUGUCGAUUGUUACGUCAUAAUACCUCUUUAUCAUACAAGUGUGACGUCAUAUUGUAAUAUUUUUACAUAAAAUGUACAAAGAUCACGUGAUGUUCAUGAAUGAAUGAAGAACAACCCGAA